Molecule: long non-coding RNA, 2260 nt
Organism: Zophobas morio
Lineage: Eukaryota; Metazoa; Arthropoda; Insecta; Coleoptera; Tenebrionidae
Exons: 6
Source: RefSeq, a predicted model, not a curated record
GGUGUUUUGAGGAUUUGAAAAUUAUGCUGUUCUGAGGAUUUGAGGAUUCUGAUCUUCUUAGAAUUUGAAGACCAUGGUGUUCUGAGGAUCUGAGGAUGUUGGUGUUCUGAGGAUUUGAGUGUUAUGGUGUUCUGAGAACUUGAGAAUUUGGCUCUUCUAAGGAUUUGAGGAUUAUGGUGUUUUGAGUGUUUGAGGAUUCCGGUGUUCUGAGAAUUUGAAGAUUAUGGCGUUCUGAGGAUGUGAGGAUUUUCGUGUUCUGAGGAUUUGAGGAUUAUGGUGUUUUGAGGAUUUGAGAAUUAUGGUGUUCUGAGGAUUUGAGGAUUAUGGUGCUCUGAAGAUUUGAGAAUUCUGGUAUUCUGAGGAUUUGACGAUUAUAGUGUUCUGAGGAUUUGAGGAUAAUGGGGUUUUGAGGAUUUGAGGAUUAUGCUGUUUUGAGGAUUUAAGGAUAAUGGUGUUCUGGGGAUUUGAGGAUUCUGGUGUUCUGAGUAUUUAAGGAUAAUGGUGUUGAUGACAGAAUGAGAGGAUAAGAUGAUGGAAGGAUGAAAGGAUGAAAGGAUAAGAGGACGAGAGGAUGAGAGGACGAAAGCACAGAAAGCACAGGAAGGAGAGAAAGGUUGGAAAGGAUAGACAGGAUAGAAAAGAUAAAAAGAACAAAAAGGACAAAAAAGGACGAAAAUGAUGAAAACAACGAAAAAGGACCAAAGAGGACAAAAAGGACGAAAAAGGACGAAAAAGACGAAAAAGGACGAAAAGGACGAAAAAGGAUGAAAAGGACGAAGAAGGACGAAAUGGGACGAAAAGGACGAAAAGGACAAAAAAGGACGACAAAGGACGAAAAGAACACAAAGGACGGAAGAGAACGAAUAAGGACGAAAAGGACGAAUUAGGAUGAAAAAGGAUGAAAAGGACGAGAAAGAACGAAACAGGACGAAAAGGACGAAACAGGACGAAAAAGACGAUAAAGGACGAAAAGGACGAAAAUGGAUAUUAAGGACGAAAAAGGACGAAAAAAGACGGAAAUUUGACGAAAAUGGAUAUUAAGGACGAAAAAGGACGAAAACAACGAGAAAGGACCAAAGAGGACCAAAACAACGAAAAAGGACCAAAGAGGAUGAAAAAGACGAAAAAGGACGAAAAGGAUCAAAAAGGACGAAAAAAUUUGACGAAUUAGGACGAAAAAGGAUGAAAAGGACGAGAAAGAACGAAACAGGACGAAAAGGACGAAACAGGACGAAAAGGACGAAACAGGACGAAAAAGACGAAAAAAGACGGAAAUUUGACGAAAAUGGAUAUUAAGGACGAAAAAGGACGAAAACAACGAGAAAGGACCAAAGAGGACCAAAACAACGAAAAAGGACCAAAGAGGAUGAAAAAGACGAAAAAGGACGAAAAGGAUCAAAAAGGACGAAAAAGGACGAAAAAAGACGAAAAUUUGACGAAAAGGAGGAAUAAGGAGGAAAAAGGACGAAAAGGACAAAAAACAACGAAAAGGAUGAGAAAGAACGAAAAGGAUGAAAAAGAACGAAAGGGAUGAAAAAGGACGAAAGGGAGGAAAAAGGACGAAAAGGACGAAAAUGGAUAUUAAGGACGAAAAAGAACGAAAACAACGAAAAAGGACGAAAAGGACCAAAAAGAACGAAAAAGGACGAAUAGGAUGAAAAAGAACGAAAAGGAUGAAAAACGACAGAAAGGAUGAAAAAGGACGAAAAGGACGAAAAAUGAUAUUAAGGAAGAAAAAGGACGAAAACAACGAAAAAGGACCAAAGAGGACGAAAACAACGAAAAAGAACCAAAGAGGACGAAAAGGACCAAAAAGGACGAAAAAGACGGAAAAGGACGAAAAUGGAUAUUAAAGACGAAAAAGGACGAAAACAACGAAAAAGGACCAAAGAGGAUGAAAAAGACGAAAAAGGACGAAAAGGAUCAAAAAGGACGAAAAAGGAUAUUAAGGACGAAAAAAACGAAAAAGGACGAAAAUGACGAAAAUGGAUAUUAAGGACGUAAAAGGACGAAAAAGGACGAAAAGGACGAAGAAGAACGAAAUAGAACGAAAAAGACAAAAAGACGAAAAAGGCCGAAAGAGGAGGAAAAAUGACGUAACGGACGAAAAUGGCCGAAAAAGGACGAAAAGGACGAAAAAGGAUAUUAAAGCCGAAAAAGGACGAAAAAAGACGAAAAUUUGACGAAAUAGGACGAAAAAGGCGAAAAAGGACGAAUAGGACGAAAAAGGACGAAAAGGACGAAAAAGGACGAAAAAAGA